Molecule: ribosomal RNA, 253 nt
Filed under: uncultured bacterium
Lineage: Bacteria
Description: partial 16S ribosomal RNA
Rfam family: Bacterial small subunit ribosomal RNA
Source: RNAcentral
UACGUAGGGGGCAAGCGUUGUCCGGAAUCAUUGGGCGUAAAGAGCGUGUAGGCGGCCAUGCAGGUCCGUUGUGAAAACUCGAGGCUCAACCUCGAGACGCCGGUGGAAACCGUGUGGCUAGAGUCCGGAAGAGGAGAGUGGAAUUCCUGGUGUAGCGGUGAAAUGCGCAGAUAUCAGGAAGAACACCCGUGGCGAAGGCGGCUCUCUGGGACGUGACUGACGCUGAGACGCGAAAGCGUGGGGAGCAAACAGG